CCUACGGGAGGCAGCAGUGGGGAAUAUUGGACAAUGGGCGAAAGCCUGAUCCAGCCAUGCCGCGUGUGUGAAGAAGGCCUUCGGGUUGUAAAGCACUUUCAGUGGGGAAGAAAGCCUUGGGGCUAAUACCCUCGAGGAAGGACAUCACCCACAGAAGAAGCACCGGCUAACUCCGUGCCAGCAGCCGCGGUAAUACGGAGGGUGCGAGCGUUAAUCGGAAUUACUGGGCGUAAAGCGCGCGUAGGCGGUCUGAUAAGCCGGUUGUGAAAGCCCCGGGCUCAACCUGGGAACGGCAUCCGGAACUGUCAGGCUAGAGUGCAGGAGAGGAAGGUAGAAUUCCCGGUGUAGCGGUGAAAUGCGUAGAGAUCGGGAGGAAUACCAGUGGCGAAGGCGGCCUUCUGGACUGACACUGACGCUGAGGUGCGAAAGCGUGGGUAGCGAACAGGAUUAGAUACCCUGGUAGUC
Molecule: ribosomal RNA, 465 nt
Filed under: Vreelandella stevensii
Lineage: Bacteria; Pseudomonadati; Pseudomonadota; Gammaproteobacteria; Oceanospirillales; Halomonadaceae
Description: partial 16S ribosomal RNA
Rfam family: Bacterial small subunit ribosomal RNA
Source: RNAcentral